GUGGGGAAUAUUGGACAAUGGGCGAAAGCCUGAUCCAGCCAUGCCGCGUGAGUGAUGAAGGCCCUAGGGUUGUAAAGCUCUUUCACCGGUGAAGAUAAUGACGGUAACCGGAGAAGAAGCCCCGGCUAACUUCGUGCCAGCAGCCGCGGUAAUACGAAGGGGGCUAGCGUUGUUCGGAAUUACUGGGCGUAAAGCGCACGUAGGCGGACAUUUAAGUCAGGGGUGAAAUCCCGGGGCUCAACCUCGGAACUGCCUUUGAUACUGGGUGUCUCGAGUCCGGAAGAGGUGAGUGGAAUUCCGAGUGUAGAGGUGAAAUUCGUAGAUAUUCGGAGGAACACCAGUGGCGAAGGCGGCUCACUGGUCCGGUACUGACGCUGAGGUGCGAAAGCGUGGGGAGCAAACAGGAUUAGAAACCCGUGUAGUCC
Molecule: ribosomal RNA, 425 nt
Filed under: uncultured bacterium
Lineage: Bacteria
Description: partial 16S ribosomal RNA
Rfam family: Bacterial small subunit ribosomal RNA
Source: RNAcentral